GGGACCCAGAGUCAAGAUUAUCAAGAGCCCCAUUUUCGACCACACAGUUUGCAGAAAUAAAGAACAGUACAAAAUUCUAACAAAAAUGGAGAACUGAUAUUACUCUCACAUCAAAGGUGUGGGAAAGGCAUAGAUAAUGGGAUGUACUCCAUUAGAGACAACUGACGACCUCUUCUCACUGAACAGCUUUUCGGGCUGAAGGUGUGAGACCAGCAGGGACCAGGUAAAGAAAAGCAGUAGUGAGUGACACUGGUUUCCAGUUUCUUCUUUUAAGUCAUCAGGCUAUUGGAUUAACCCCAUUUCAAGUUGGGCUCCGGGAACAUACAUUGGAAAUCAGCCUAGUACGUCUGAGCUGAAACUAAUGUUGCAACAGGGGUGUCAGUCUUGGGCAAUAAAAAACCUCUGAUCUCAUCUCUGCACGGUGGGUUAGCUUAACUCUAAUCAUGGACUAUAAAAGAAUUCUCAAUUAAGAUUCUCCACUCAGACUCAUUUAUGCUGAAGUUUGGAGUUGCCAGAUAUAACCUAUAUGUGAAUUAGGUCACAGUGCAAGUGUUCCAAAAUCUUUGAACUUUCACAAAUGUGUAAAAAUAUGCUUUACACUAUAAAUUAACACUACGGCUGAUGUACAGUGUUGUAGCUGUAGUGUUAACUUUGUAAUCUCAACCAAUGAGUAAUGGUAGCUAACACUGGCUGUUGGUGAAUGUGAUUAUACCAGCCAUGCUAGAAGUUCCUAACUAAAUUAAUUGUAAAUAUUAAAACAAGAAAAGUCUGGGCAGUUGUAUCUGCACUGUGUUCUUCUAGCACCCCACUGUUUUACUGAGAGGCUAUUAUUCUUUUGAUUGGGCCCAGCAGGUUGUGGAGCUCCUCAAAAAUAAAUGAAAAAGCCCUACACCACUGUCAACAUUUUUCUUUUCUACUUUUUUUUUUGUUAAUUAUUAUUAAUGUUUGAUGUAGAAUGUACCCCAGAAAAUUGUUUCUGUAACUAAUAAAAAUCUAUGAAAAUUUC
This is a long non-coding RNA of Electrophorus electricus (electric eel), 1006 nucleotides long. RefSeq lists it as uncharacterized. Lineage: Eukaryota; Metazoa; Chordata; Actinopteri; Gymnotiformes; Gymnotidae. The record is from RefSeq and is a predicted model, not a curated record.